GUAAUUGAAUGGCAGGGGUAUGAGAUUUGAGGUCAAGGAAAUAUUUUUAUUAUUUUUUACGAUGAGAGAAAUUGUAGUACACAUGUAUAUUUAUGGGAAUGACUCAGUAGAAAGACCAAAAAUUUCAUAUGUGAGAGAAGGACCAAUUGAUGAAGCGAUGUUCUUGCGUGGGCGCGAGGAUGGGAUCGAGUGCACAGCGGAAGGUGGCACUUAGGAACACGCAGCACUCGUCCAUGCCAGCAGGAGGCAAGGCAGAAUGGAAAUAAAACUUUAACCAAAAGAGCAUGGGCAGAUAUUUCCCGGAUCUGAACAGGAAUAGCUGGUGUCUGGACUCUAUGAAGAAUCUUCAUGUGCAGUGAUAGAAGAAUAAACACAUUUGCAGACUUUUGUAGUGCACAGUGACCGGUGACCAGCAGCAUGUGUUUCCAUAGGCAUCUUCUCUCAGUACCCCAGAAGGUGAAUUGCCAGUGAGUCCUGCCAGGAUGCCCCUCGGUGACUGCACCACCCAGUAAAAAGACAUCCCUUAACUAUGGCAAAACAACAACAACAACGACGACAAAAAACAAAACAAAACAAAACAAAACCCUGCAUCAAUUUGAUAAAUAAUCCUCCCCGUUGAUGUCACUGGUUUUUUUCUGCACAUCUUCUCACUGAUAUUUAAAUGCUGAGCUUACACUUUCCAUGGACAUGCUUAAUGACUAAACAAUAGUUGAAUUCUAAAUUAAUCAACUGACCAACCAGUAAGAAUUUAUUGAGCAACUCCUUUGAAGCCGUCUAUCUGUUAGGUGCUGUGGGAGCACAAAAGAAAUAGGACAUCAUCUCUGCCUCAGGGAAUUUAGUGUUUUGGGGAAAACCUGAGUGGUAUACACAAAGCAAUUGAGGAACAACCUAGGACCUUGUAGUCCAUUAGGAUUUCCAAAAAUAGAAAGAGAAUGGAAAGUCACCUGGCUAGGAGAAGCCAGUGGAAACUUGACACGAAGAAAAAAG
This 987-nucleotide long non-coding RNA is filed under the name Homo sapiens (human). Its description in RNAcentral is "non-protein coding lnc-POLE4-8:7". Lineage: Eukaryota; Metazoa; Chordata; Mammalia; Primates; Hominidae. The record is from RNAcentral.